GGAAGAACUGCCUAUUAAUGUGCACUGUGGAUGUGACACGACUGUGCCAGGUAGGCAAAUCUGAAAUAGUGUUCGCCUAAAAAAGCUUUUUUAUGAAUGGAGUGAAUGACAUUCUCAAAAAAAAACAAAAAAAACGUAUAAUUUAGAUGCUUAAUUAGGCUACUCAGAGAGAGGGACGUCAUUGAACAAGCAGGCGUUGCAACGGCUGAAACAUGAAAUGAAUGAAUAGAGACAAUUUGCUACAGCAUACCUACAUCUUUUAUUUAAGGUCAUCAUCUCGUCUCUAUAGAGCUGCUGCCUAUGCUGACAAAAUCAAAAUGUUUGUAGUUCUUCAAAGUAAAUGAGGUAUACUUUUAUGACUGCUGAAUACCAAC
Oncorhynchus tshawytscha (Chinook salmon) is the source of this 374-nucleotide long non-coding RNA. The record is from Ensembl. Lineage: Eukaryota; Metazoa; Chordata; Actinopteri; Salmoniformes; Salmonidae.